Armigeres subalbatus is the source of this 1453-nucleotide long non-coding RNA. RefSeq lists it as uncharacterized. The transcript is spliced from 2 exons. The record is from RefSeq and is a predicted model, not a curated record. NCBI's taxonomy places the organism in Eukaryota, Metazoa, Arthropoda, Insecta, Diptera, Culicidae.
GAAUAACAAAACCGUUCGCACUAGCAUUUUAGGUAAUACUAUUUGACAGCUGACAGCAUGUGUCAAGCGCCAAUUUUUUUCGAGCAGUUUGUUGUUUGUUUACAAAUAUGCAGCGAGAUUCUUCAAAUUAGAAUUCAAUUAUUAUUAAACAAUAAAUCUGUUUGCGAUUAAAGAACUAUUCCGCGGUAAUGAGAUUUAUUAAUUUGCUAUUUUCUUCGUAAUUGCAAGAAGCGGACCAAACUCCGAAGGCGUGAGUUCAGUAUGGGAUGAAACUGAUAGUGAUUAGUGUGCGCCAAGAAGCCAGAAGUAUUUGUGUGCUUCGUUUAAAUUUUAUUUUGCUAAUUUUUCCUUCGGAAAUCGGCUAGGAACUGUAAUUACAAGUAGGUUUCGUCACCGGUGAACGGGAUGUGAAGUCGAGGAUUCCAUAAAUAUUACACAGGCAGAAAGCAUCGAUGGAGCCUGGAAGGUCAAGAUGGAUCAGAAAUAAUACAAUGUUUAGCAGCUGCAAGACGAGCCAACGUGAAUUCAAGUUAAACAAAAUUGUAUCGCCAAAACAGUGUGACAAUGGAAUUCACGGAACAACUUCAGCGCGAUAAAACAGGAUUCCUGGAACCCGAACUAACUCGAGAACUACGGUGGAAAUUCCAAAAAUAUUCAGUGCUAUCGUUUGGAGCGACCGACGGCUUUCUACUGCGUUAAGUCCGAAACAGUUUAUUAUGCAAUAUAUUUUUGAAAUUUUCGAAAUAAUGUUACUGACGGUAAUAAUUUUAUGUAUUUAGAUGCGUCUAGUCCUUGGACCCAAUGGGAAGUGUCAUCAGUGUUGGUUGUCCUAAUAGAGGUAAUAAACUAUAGAGGGCGAUUGUCGCUGCGGUUCCCUUUGUUAUCGUCCCCAAACAUGUUGGGUACCUAUCUGUCAAAACGUACUGAUUUUUCCUUCGUUGACAUUUAGUGCCCUAUCCUCGCCAGCAAAAGAUGUAUCGCCAGUGACGACAGCGACAAUCUUCCUCUAUAGUUUAUUACCUCUAUAGUUGUCCUCCCCUAUUCGGUUGUAUCGUUGAUCGGAUUAUUCUGCACUUAUUUUGUAGAUCCAGUUUUGCUCAAAAGGUCACCAAUCGGAAAACCACAAGUUGCCGGUAGUGAUAGUAUUAUAAUUGUUUUUAAGAGUAAGAAACCCACCGUCGUUUCACCCACAAGAGGAUGUACGAAGUAACUUCCAAUUUUUAUAAUAAAAUAACAAUUAAACAACGCACGUAAUCAUCAUCAGAGGAGAUGGUAUUAGUUGCCAAAAUCAGCUAAAACCAUUCAUCACAUUCCAUUUAUAUCUCAACUUAGGUGAACGAGGGCAGGCACGGAACUACGUUGUUGUGUUUCGCUAGGGAGGGAUCGUGAAGUACUAAUAACUAUAAUAUAUACUAGACUAAAAUGAUUCGAACGAAAUAAAGAUAUUCAAACG